AACGAACGCUGGCGGCAUGCCUAACACAUGCAAGUCGAACGAGACCCCUGACUUCGGUUGGCGGGUCUAGUGGCGCACGGGUGCGUAACGCGUGGGAAUCUGCCCUUGGGUUCGGAAUAACUCAGAGAAAUUUGAGCUAAUACCGGAUGAUGACGAAAGUCCAAAGAUUUAUCGCCCAGGGAUGAGCCCGCGUAAGAUUAGCUUGUUGGUGGGGUAAUGGCCUACCAAGGCGACGAUCUUUAGCUGGUCUGAGAGGAUGAUCAGCCACACUGGGACUGAGACACGGCCCAGACUCCUACGGGAGGCAGCAGUGGGGAAUAUUGGACAAUGGGCGCAAGCCUGAUCCAGCAAUGCCGCGUGAGUGAUGAAGGCCUUAGGGUUGUAAAGCUCUUUUACCAGGGAUGAUAAUGACAGUACCUGGAGAAUAAGCUCCGGCUAACUCCGUGCCAGCAGCCGCGGUAAU
Molecule: ribosomal RNA, 463 nt
Filed under: uncultured bacterium
Lineage: Bacteria
Description: bacterial SSU rRNA
Rfam family: Bacterial small subunit ribosomal RNA
Source: RNAcentral